AUUUGAUCUGUUGUAAUCUUGCUUUGUUGGUUGUUUUUGUUCUUCUAAGCAAAGUGAAGUGGUGAUAAGGAGAAAAAAUCUUGUUUGCAAGUCACCUUUUGCAGAAGAAAAUAAUUGUUUUGUACCAAAUUCUUCUGGUUAUAUUUUCAAGUAUUCAUAUUCUGCUUCACCAUUACACGUUUGCACUCCUGCUGUUACAUGUAGCAUAAUAAAUUCAUAAUAUUAGCAUGCGUGCCAUGUCCAUAUUCUUCCAGCACGUACAGAUUGUGUGGUGGCAUGUUGAUUUAGCUUAUUAUUUGAUCAAGCCCGGCCUCCUUUGCGCCCUCUUCAUCAUGCACAAUGGCUCAUAGGCCAUUUGGUUCGUGGUGUCUGCCAAUUGUAUGAUUCAGAAAUUAAUGGAAUAUUAAGCUCUUGGUGGAUGACCUUCUCAAUCCUUCAGGGUAUGCAAGUAUUUAGUCUAUUUGUUGCUGUUACACUGUUUGGUACAACUUUUAGACAAAAUCAACAAGCAAUGUCUGCUAUCAUGGAUACAAACUUGCUAAUAUUGAAGAAGUGUUGGAACCCCAUUCUUCCGCAAAGAUGUCCUUCAUAAAACCGAUGCUCAUAGUUGACCAGAUCAAUCAUGAUAGAGGGAGUAAAUCAACCAGCAUAGGAUCUACUUUGGGUGGACUGAUGGGCAGAGUUCAGCAGCCAAUAGCUAAUCAUCAACCCAGAAUGCUCUUGGGUACAACGGCAUUAAUACUCUUGAAAGUGUUAAAGAAUGCAUGAGUAUGUAGUUGACAAGAUUUUUCCCCUGGCCUUGGAUUUCGUCUUCCUGGUGAGCGCGGCGAGGGCAACCACAGGGGAGGUGACAUUGGAGUCGUCACCUCCGGUCAAGUUGUACGGGGACCAGGAAGCGAGGAUAUGCUGCGAUGGCCUUGAAGAGCUACGUGUGAGUUUGGUCAGGGGAAGACCGACGCGAGUUUGGAGUAGAGACAGCGGCCAGUGAGCUGGACUCCUGUUUUCCAAGACAUUUGAGAGGAGGUGUUUGAGAAUAAUCCAAGGAGGUUGCACAACAUAAUAAAUCCAUGUGAUACUUGAAUCUGCAAGCUCUAGGUUUUGAUCAGACCGAGGUAUGUAAGCAUGAAAGAGGACUGGUGUUGAUGCUGGAUAUAAGCGAGUCACAAUUGUUCAUUGCAAGUCACCAGAUCUAAACCUAAUCUCUUAGCUACAUCUUUUCUGGAACAUUGUCGAAGUAUUUUCAAGUUUGAAUAGACUACUGUAAGCAGUUUUUAAAUUCGACUUUGUUCAUUUAAGGAAGCAGGUUGGUUUUAUAAAAAAAUAAGAGUGGGGCUUGUCUGCUUUGAUAAUAGGAUCGUUCACUUCAUUCGAUCUUGCUGUUUUUAAAGUCGUGGAUUUUUCACCAUCCUUUUCGUGGAAACUUGGUACUCUGUACAUUAUGUUAUGCAUCUACUAUGCAGAUACUUGUGUCAUAAAUUGCUUUUAUCCGCCU
Lolium rigidum is the source of this 1492-nucleotide long non-coding RNA. RefSeq lists it as uncharacterized. Lineage: Eukaryota; Viridiplantae; Streptophyta; Magnoliopsida; Poales; Poaceae. The record is from RefSeq and is a predicted model, not a curated record. The transcript has 6 exons.